ACAAUGGGCAAAGUCACAGUGGAUUAACUUUCACCUAUGUUAAUAAUCAAAUUCUAGUUCUGACAAAGGCCCCACGCCAACAGUGAUUACAAUGACCAAAAAUAUUUACUUGUUGGUUCUCAUUCAGUUCUAUAGAUUUCUCCUUAAUGUGCAGGAAAGCAUCUGAUAAUACUUUUGUAAAGUGGUCUUUAUUGAUUUAAUAUAAAACUUAUAGAAUACUCCAGAGAAAACAUGUGAUAUAAAUGUCACUGUUAGAGCCAUCAAAAUAAUUCUUAUUUUCAUUAAUAAUUUGUGGAGGAAAUUAUUGAGAAAUGUUGAUUCUCUUAUCAGAGCUCAGGAGGAGUUAAUAGUGCUAACUAGGGGUGGUGGAAAUAGUCCCGUGAGAAGCAGAGGAGCCAAAUCUACCUCCUCGCACUGAUUUGGUCACCUCCUUUAUAUUCCCAAGUAUAACACUCUACACAGACAAUGAGAGAGCUCAAUGCAUGUACAGAAUCCCCGGUUAUUUAUGCAGUCCAUUGGAUGAAGCCCAUCUUCAUUUCAGAGUUCUAUUCACAAAGUAAUUUGAGGUCUCUGGUGUUCUCAGGCACAGAUUUCUUGAAGAGCAAAGCAGAAGUCCUUAGGAAAAUUCAGGCUCCACUUACGGUGCCAUCCCUUGACUCAACCUUUAGAACAAUGGGUUUUUCUGGUUGAAGAAGUCCUCCUAAGCGUAAUUUCAGGGGGAUCUGCAACAGUUAAACAAGCAUAUUGAGAAGCAUUAAAUAAACAAAAGUAGAAAGUAUAGCAUCAAAGUGAGUGAGACACUCCUUCAGUGUUGAGGGGACACAACAGAGUGAUAUUCUGAUCUCCAUGGAGUAAUGGGCAAAAAAAUGCAGUAAUGACAAUAAUGCUUUGUAAACAUAUAAAAACUACUUUCAGCACUAUAAAUCUUGGAUUCUUUAUACUUAGUCUAUAAGAUGUGUGAAGAUUGGACAGUGAGAGCAUUCAUCAUCUAUCAUUUAACAAAAUAUUUAUGGAGUACUAUUCUGUGCCAGGCCUGAGACAAAUUCAUGGGAACCUGUGUUCUUUUUUGAUUUAAAUUUUAAGUAAAAUGGAUGAGUUUUUAAAAUUUAAACCAGAUUAUUAGGUAUGAUGGCAAACUAUUUUUGAAGAGUCAUAUAAAGUUAAUUUUGUGUAUGUUGAAACUUGCAAGGUAACCCUGAGUAGUUAUUGUACAUUUUAAUUAUAUGGACAGUCUUCAACUUCCAGAGUCCAGUAAUUCCUCCCAAUUGAACCCAUCCAGUGUAAAGAUGGGAAGGCACCUUCAGGAAGCAUUAUCUUUUUAUUUUUUAACAUCUUCUCUUGGCUUCCAAGGGUAGUGCAAGUGGGGAACCUCUCAAUUCCUACAGUGUUUGGACUCAACUUUUAUCCCCAUUCUUAUUGAGACACUCCUUCCAUGUUGAGGGGACACAACAGAGUGAUAUUCUGAUCUCCAUGGAGUAAUGGGCAAGAAAAUUGCCAGGGAGAUCAAGAAGUGCCAGGUUGGGAGCUUACCAAGGAGUUCCUUCCCCAUCCCAGGUGUGCCAGAGGACCACUUUUAUUCAGGGCUGAGUCCCCUGUCUGAGCACAUAUAAGACAGCUACACUGCUGGCCUAAAGCCACAAAUAAUAUGGAAUAUGGAAAUAAUAUGGAAACUAUUUCUGUCUUCUUCCUCUCCUAUAUAGAAAGCCUACUUAAUGUGUGAAAAAAACAGAGUUGAUUA
This 1738-nucleotide long non-coding RNA is filed under the name Pan troglodytes (chimpanzee). Its description in RNAcentral is "long non-coding RNA NONPTRT015778". The record is from RNAcentral. Lineage: Eukaryota; Metazoa; Chordata; Mammalia; Primates; Hominidae.